Thrips palmi is the source of this 573-nucleotide long non-coding RNA. RefSeq lists it as uncharacterized. The record is from RefSeq and is a predicted model, not a curated record. The transcript is spliced from 3 exons. NCBI's taxonomy places the organism in Eukaryota, Metazoa, Arthropoda, Insecta, Thysanoptera, Thripidae.
UCGCGCUGUCUCUCUCGCACUCACGGGGCGUGCCGUGCAGGUGCGAGAGAGACAGAGCGACGAAAACGACUCUGCAGCUCACAACGAGGCGCCGCAGACAGCAGGGGCAGCGGAGCUACGCCACUUUCCGAAUGCACUCUCUUCUUGGGCGUUUUGUUUUGCCGUGUUCCUGCCACGCGGAUUAGAGCAGUGCUAUUCUCUUUGGCACACUGCUCCGCGCUGCCCGCGCCGCUCGUUGUGUUCUCCGUUCCCCGCGUGGACCGGAGCGAACGCGAGCGAACGCCACUGCAAGUGCUCGCCUAAGCCGCGUGCGCCGCACCGUGUUGGAGACCAGAAGAGAGGCACCCGCCCUGCGCCCUGGGAGGCAUCCGCAGGGCCCUGCCAGGUCUCGCGCAGCCAGUCACCAGACUCGCCAGGAAGCCCGCCAGUACACCUUUGCCACUGCCAUCCCGAUCAGCGCCGAUCGGCAAUCAGAAUGGACCCGCCCUGCGCAAACCCGGGGUCAGCCCGGCCACCGCUCUGACAUGGCAGGGUAAUACCGUGACAGCAACGGGAAUGCACUACUGACUCUGG